Molecule: ribosomal RNA, 253 nt
Filed under: uncultured bacterium
Lineage: Bacteria
Description: partial 16S ribosomal RNA
Rfam family: Bacterial small subunit ribosomal RNA
Source: RNAcentral
UACGUAGGGUGCGAGCGUUGUCCGGAAUUACUGGGCGUAGCGAGCUCGUAGGUGGUUUGUCGCGUUGUCCGUGAAAACUCACAGCUCAACUGUGGGCGUGCGGGCGAUACGGGCAGACUGGAGUACUGCAGGGGAGACUGGAAUUCCUGGUGUAGCGGUGGAAUGCGCAGAUAUCAGGAGGAACACCGGUGGCGAAGGCGGGUCUCUGGGCCGAUACUGACGCUGAGGAGCGAAAGCGUGGGGAGCGAACAGG